GACGAACGCUGGCGGCGUGCUUAACACAUGCAAGUCGAACGGAAAGGCGCUGCUUUUGUGGGGUGCUCGAGUGGCGAACGGGUGAGUAACACGUGAGUAACCUGCCCUUGUCUUUGGGAUAACUUCAGGGAACUGGGGCGAAUACCGGAUAGGAGCUCCUGCUGCAUGGUGGGGGUUGGAAAGUUUCGGCGGUGGGGGAUGGACUCGCAGCUUAUCAGCUGGUUGGUGGGGUAGUGGCUUACCAAGGCUUUGACGGGUAGCCGGCCUGAGAGGGUGACCGGCCACAUGGGGCCUGAGGUACGGCCCAGACUCCUACGGGAGGCAGCAGUGGGGAAUAUUGCACAAUGGGCGGAAGCCUGAUGCAGCAACGCCGCGUGCGGGAUGACGGCCUUCGGGUUGUAAACCGCUUUCGCCUGUGACGAAGCGUGAGUGACGGUAAUGGGUAAAGAAGCACCGGCUAACUACGUG
RNAcentral lists this ribosomal RNA (468 nucleotides) under uncultured bacterium. RNAcentral's name for it is "partial 16S ribosomal RNA". It matches the Rfam family "Bacterial small subunit ribosomal RNA", at positions 28 to 507 of the family's 1533-position model. The record is from RNAcentral.